CUGCCGCACGUCGGCGGCGGUUCGAUUCCCAGCUCUCCUCUCCGUUUCCUUUUCUUUCUCACCCUCCCUUCUCCUUUGACGCUCAGACCAUCCUCCUCCCGCGCGUCGCGGCUCACCUGCGCCGGCGCGCCGCUCCCCCGCCGGCCGCGGCUGCCCACGACGGGUGCCGCUGCUGCCCUCCGCUCGAGGCCCGCGGCUGCCCCACGGCCCGGACGCGGCUCCCCAAGCCGGCCGGCGCAGAAGCUGCCUCGCCGGGCAUGGAUGCCCCUGCAGCUUCACUCACGGACGCGGCUGCUACGCUAGCCGGCCGCCGCUACAGCUCCUCUCGCCGCCCACGGCUGUCCGCUGCAGCUCACCUCGCACUGCGACUCCCCCAUGAGGCCCCCUCGACGCGUCGUCGUACCGCAGUCUCCAACACAUCCAGCCCGCCUUGGAUCUAGAUCAGUUGCUGUGCAAUAUGGAGGAGGAACCGGAAGUCACACCUCCUUCGAAAGCACUCCUGCAGAUCCUGCGCUGCUUUCCAUGUGCUUCCCUCGCCGUCAAGCUGUUCGAUGAAACGUUUAGCCCAUGCCUGCUUUAGUCAGGUACAUUCAGCUGUUUGGUAUGGAUCCGCAAGGGAUGAGGCAUUGAUGCCAGCUACGUGACUUCUUGUCUUUGUUCCAGGUAGGCGUAUGUAUUCUUUGUUAUUGCGAUUUCCCUAAGAACUUAGAAAAUUAUGCACCAAUUUAAUAGGUUUUGUAUGUGCCAAGUAAUAUCACCUGGAUUGCUUUUAUCCGUGAAAAUGAAUACACCUUCAGACAUAUGGUGUAAAAUUCUUGUGUAAUUCUAGCAAAAUCAUCUCUGUUCAGAUUGGUUGAUGAUAGAUUACCUUUAUCAAAUUCUUGGGAUGCAUAUGGUGAUGCCCAGUGCAAAUUAUCGUUUAACUUUUUAUUGAAACAUAAGCUGUUGCUUGAGAUUGGAGAGUAUGUGAUUCUGGUGUCUUGCGGCAACAUUGGUAGCUAAAAUUAUUUUAUUGGUCAAUUUACUUAUUAUUAAGGAAGGGAGUUACUUUGAUUUUUAUUGCGGCCAUGUCAAUGGUUCAGUGUAUUAGUACCUGUAUUGGUUUUGGAUUUUGAUUCUGCCAUAUUCUUGGUACAUGACCAAUUAUUAAUGUUUGAUGUCCUUAAUUCGUUGGUUCCUGCAUGCCAUGCACAUUACUGCCAAGAAGGGACAUGUUUUGGUAAACAAUCUCAAGGUGCUCGCCAACUUUGGUGUGGAGGCAAGGAAGAUGGUUAACCUUUUUGGUCCUCUUUGGUGCUCUUAUGGAAGAGAGAUGGUCCUAUGUCAAUCUUUUUUGUGAUCCUAGAUAGAUCCAUAGAGGUCCUUUUCUUGUGCAAGUUCAGCCAGCGUCAAUUUCCCUACCAUUGUUUAUACUGUCAAUUGGUUGCCUUCAGAAGAUGAGAAGAAAGAGAAAAGGUAUCAUUUCCUUCUGUGGAAACACAUUUUUCUAAUAUAUAUGUAUUUAUGAGGUGUUGGGAUCUGAUUGGAGCUGUAUCAGGGAGUCUCUCUCGGUGGAGGGAUUGGAAGCAUCUUAGACAUUUUAGAUGCAUCACAAAUGAUCUGAUUUGGCAUACCUAUGGUUAUUGUCAAAUGAAUGUUAAUAUGAAUAGUUAUGCUUCUAACUUAGGAUCCAAACCAUGCUGCUUGACAGCUUGUGUGACCGGUGCUCACUCUAUUGGUGAUGCUACACGGAUGAUUCAAUUUGGAGAUGCCGAUGUGUGAUGGCGGAUGGUGGAACAGAGUCCAGUAUCGAUGCUUUCUCUAUAGUUGGAUUUUCUAGGCAAUUAUGUUCUUGGUGCUUUGUUUUAUUUAUCUUUGAAAAUAGUAGUCUGUAUACUUUGGUGACUAUAAAUGGCUUGAAUGCUUUCAGUAACUGUAAUCAGGAGCAACUGUUAAGUGUGAGGAUUGUAGGAAGGCAUAGAGAAUCCACUUUUAUGUUCACAAAUAAACAUGUCUCAUAAAUAGCCUAUGCAGACCUGGUCACCUGCAUAUUUGUUGCCCACUGUUUCAUGAUUGAUAUGUAGCUCCAUUUCUUAUUA
Molecule: long non-coding RNA, 2078 nt
Organism: Panicum virgatum (switchgrass)
Lineage: Eukaryota; Viridiplantae; Streptophyta; Magnoliopsida; Poales; Poaceae
Exons: 2
Source: RefSeq, a predicted model, not a curated record